Molecule: ribosomal RNA, 525 nt
Filed under: Bacteroides sp. CB13
Lineage: Bacteria; Pseudomonadati; Bacteroidota; Bacteroidia; Bacteroidales; Bacteroidaceae
Description: bacterial SSU rRNA
Rfam family: Bacterial small subunit ribosomal RNA
Source: RNAcentral
AGAGUUUGAUCCUGGCUCAGGAUGAACGCUAGCUACAGGCUUAACACAUGCAAGUCGAGGGGCAGCGGGAUUGAAGCUUGCUUCAAUUGCCGGCGACCGGCGCACGGGUGAGUAACGCGUAUCCAACCUUCCGUACACUCAGGGAUAGCCUUUCGAAAGAAAGAUUAAUACCUGAUGGUAUGAUAAGCACACAUGUAUAUUAACAUUAAAGAUUCAUCGGUGUACGAUGGGGAUGCGUUCCAUUAGGUAGUAGGCGGGGUAACGGCCCACCUAGCCGACGAUGGAUAGGGGUUCUGAGAGGAAGGUCCCCCACAUUGGAACUGAGACACGGUCCAAACUCCUACGGGAGGCAGCAGUGAGGAAUAUUGGUCAAUGGACGAGAGUCUGAACCAGCCAAGUAGCGUGAAGGAUGAAGGUCCUACGGAUUGUAAACUUCUUUUAUAAGGGAAUAAACCCUCCCACGUGUGGGAGCUUGUAUGUACCUUAUGAAUAAGCAUCGGCUAACUCCGUGCCAGCAGCCGCGGU